UCUGAGGUCAUGAGAGGGGCCUCAACAGGCUUUCCAGCAGCAGGAAGACAGCCUCCCUGGGGAAAGAGCCGCUCCUCACACGCUUUGUUGAUAAUAAAGAAAAUGAGAGAGCAGUGGGGGAGGUGUGAUGGCCCCAACUUUGCCAGGUCUCCUCCGAGGUGCUGGUGAGGGUUUGGGGAGCGGGGGACCCAUGAUUUGGUGCUUUCGGAUGCCUGGGGCAGGGAGGCACGGGGUGUUAGAGGUUCCCUCCCUCUCUGCCUCAGCGCCAAUCUCAGGAGCACUCCGACACUCUUCAAUGUGGAGGGACCAACGUUCAGGUCCUGAGAACCCGAACUGGGCACCUCCCUGUCUCACCUGCACAUCAGAACUGCUGGGGCAGUGGUCCAGGCUGGCCACCCACUGGACAGGGACGCCACCUGCAGGUAACAGGCAUUCACACUGUGUCCUUGUAGCCCAUGGCUCCUGGGGGGUGCUGUGUGUCGGGUUCCUGCAGCGGGUGCCAGGCCUGCUGGUGGCCACAGGUUCCCACAGCAGUAGCAUCUUCCUCAACACCUGCGGCACAUCACUGUUGAGGCUCCGCCCCCGCGCCCCGGCCCUGGAGUGUGGUUUCCACUCGCCUUCCCCGCUCCCAGAGGCGGUUCCAGGACACGGCUUAGAGAUGGCGAGGCGUUGACAGCACCCCGGGGUAGGCGUGACGGAGCCCAGUUAAGGCCUCUGCAUGAACUUUGAAGAUCUGGUGCACUGGUGUGGGGUCCGUUCAUCUCCUGUGUAAGUUCCCUUGUUUAUGAAAUCUGCCCGCCGCCAGCCUGGAGCGUCCUGCCUCUUUCUUCUGUCUCUCCUGCCCUCCGCGUUUGGGAUGGCUUCGGGGUUCAGCAGGGAGGCUUCUGAGCAGCUGGUGCGCCAACCGUCACCACGGGGGGUGACACUGGCGCUCGGUGUGUUCGUUCUGUCAUUUUAUCCCGCGUGUGGUUCCUGUGACCACCCUGCAGUCAAGAUGCGGGCUGUUCCGCCCCUCAGAGACCCGUCUCGCUGCCCCUCUUCGGCACCCCCACCGUCCCUAACCCCUGUCAACCACUCUUGUCAGUUCUCCACCUCCAUAACGCUGUCAUUUCAAGAAUAUUAGGUAAGUGGGACCACAGCAUAUUGGGCUGGAUUUUUGAGAUUGGAUUUUCUUCACCCAGCAAAUGACCAUGCGAUCCAUCCAAGUUGCAUCCAACUUAUACACAGGUGAUUCCAAAGCGUCUCUUAGCUUUUCCAACAUGGUACAUAAGUUCAGUUGGGUUUCACCUUGUAACACCAAGUCUAAGAAGUUUCCUCUUGUGAACAAUGGUUCCACGGCAAAGCUGACCCUCUCAUUGGAUGAGUUCUCUUCUGCAUUACAAACGUAGGAUGUAUCCUGAUUCCAUCUCAAUGCCACAAACAUUCUUGCACGGCUUGUUGACUCUUCCAACCUUCCCCAUACUGAAUUUGAAAUCUCUGCAGGGUAGAAAGGAGUCCAUGCAGGGACAGAGCCAGCCCAUCAGGCCAAGGCGGUGCCCCUGACCCCGAGAUUUCUGCGGGAUGCUGGCGGGAUCCUCUCCCUGACCAUGGUGGGUUUCUAGGUACCUCCAUGUCCCACAUUGUGUUGGUCCCUACGGCCUGCAGAGAGUGACCCCACAUGACUGCUGAAUGGGAUUUUGUAUUUUUGUGGCCCUUAAAGAUAGUCAAGUAAAUGUAUUUUUUGUUUUAGUCUAGAGAAUUUUAACUUGAUGGGCUCCUUAAGAGAUGUCCUUAUAUACUUAACCUAAUAAAAUCUUGCAUUCUUUCA
Molecule: long non-coding RNA, 1807 nt
Filed under: Ursus americanus (American black bear)
Lineage: Eukaryota; Metazoa; Chordata; Mammalia; Carnivora; Ursidae
Description: lncRNA (ENSUAMG00000017878.1)
Source: RNAcentral